RNAcentral lists this long non-coding RNA (1491 nucleotides) under Ursus maritimus (polar bear). RNAcentral's name for it is "lncRNA (ENSUMAG00000025515.1)". Lineage: Eukaryota; Metazoa; Chordata; Mammalia; Carnivora; Ursidae. The record is from RNAcentral.
GUUAACAUGAAAUUAUUAGGGUGGGCCCUCAUCCGAUAUGACUGGUAUUCUUAUAAGAGGAGAAAACUUAGACAGAAGGAAGAUGAUGUGAAGACACAAGCAGGAGAUGGACAUCUAUAAGCCAAGGAGAGAGGCCUGGAACAGAUCCUUUCCUCAUGGCCCUCAGAAGGAACCAACCCUACCAACACCUUGAUCCCAGACUUCUAGCCUCCAGAACUGUGAGACAAAUUUCUGUUUAUGAUACUUUGUUACAGGAUCCUAGCAAACUAAUAGAGGAAGUACUAGGAUUUGAAAAUAAAGAGGAAGAGAAGCCAAUGAAGACUGAGAGAUAAUGGCCAUGAGGCAGGAGCAUGGAGAUCCUGGAUCUAAGAGAACAAAGAUGUUUCUCAAAGAGAGGACAGAGACAAAGAGUUCUAAGAGAAAAUAGUGAGCCUUGUACUGAAAGCAAUAUUGGUGACCCCAUGAGCACUCUGAGGACACAAGCCAGCUUGCAGGAAAUGAGAGUUGAGGAAGUGCCCAAGCACAUCUCCUCCUACUUUAACUACUAUAUUUAACUGUCAUAGCGUAGAGUGGAUGCAAGACCUUUGUGACUCAUUCACUUUAUACUGGACUUGGCUUACUCUUGUUUUGACUUUUGCUUUUGUGCUUAUUCAGAUUUUUGGAUUUUCUUGCCACUUUUCUUUUAGUGGAAAAUAAUAGCAAAUGCUCUUGGUUCUUUAUCCAUCCCCCCCUUUUAGUCUCUAUAAGGAAAUGGCAUGGGAGAUGGGUUUUGAAGAGUUCCAUUUGUAUCUGAGGCCUGUUCACUUUGAAUUUGCAUCACUCAAAGACAAACUGGACCAUCCACCUCCUGUCUUUGUCACCUCUCUGCUGGAAGACAGUGAUCGAGUGGACAGAUAUUCUCCUACUACUCUUGUCUUAGCCAUCUCUGAGGUGGAUGAUAACCAGGUUGGCAAGUUUAGCUUUUAUACAAAGGAAGCCAUCCUUAAGCUCUUAUUCCAUUCAGGAGUGGAAAAUAUGCAAGUGACCCUUGCAUGCCAAGCAGCUCAGAAAAAUGCCUUGAUGGUGGCUGUCCAACAGGCAUCCUUCUAUCACACGCCCCGGUGGGGCUGUCCUGCCAAUGUGAAGGAAAUAAGUUCAGAUCUGAGAAGUCAUGGUGGAAUGGGUCCAGACAGAAGAAGAAAUUCCAGAAUUGUGAAUGGCAUAGAGAACUUACUGUUAGCCCCAACUCCAAAAGUUCCAGACACUCUCACUCAUCCUUCAGAAAGAUUCCAGGCUACCAAAAGGUACUGACCUAGGGGUUUGUUUAAAAUUACAAAAGUGUCCUCUUUUAAGCCAGUUAAAAACAUAGUAUUGUGGGGUUGAAGGAUGCCUAAAUCCCCAAAGUGACCAGCAUGUGUUUAAUUUUUAAGACCUUCUAUGAAGACCAUGUGUGAACACUGAGAAGCUCAACUCCUUCCAAUAUACAGUCUAUGGAGAGUCAUUGGUUCCUUA